This 495-nucleotide ribosomal RNA is filed under the name Hoplichthys langsdorfii. Its description in RNAcentral is "partial 16S ribosomal RNA". It matches the Rfam family "Bacterial large subunit ribosomal RNA", at positions 1935 to 2581 of the family's 2925-position model. The record is from RNAcentral. Lineage: Eukaryota; Metazoa; Chordata; Actinopteri; Perciformes; Hoplichthyidae.
GGUAUUUUGACCGUGCGAAGGUAGCGCAAUCACUUGUCUUUUAAAUGGAGACCUGUAUGAAUGGCAUAACGAGGGCUUAACUGUCUCCUUUUUCCGGUCAAUGAAAUUGAUCUCCCCGUGCAGAAGCGGGGAUACUAACAUAAGACGAGAAGACCCUAUGGAGCUUUAGACGACAAGUCGGGUCAUGUCAAACAAUCCUAAAUACAGGACCAAACAAAAUGAAAGCCAACUUAAUGUCUUUGGUUGGGGCGACCGCGGGGAAACAAAAAACCCCCCAUGUGGAAUGAAAGUAAGAUACUUUUACAAAUUUGAGCCACAGCUCUAAUUAACAGAAUGUCUGACCAGCAGAUCCGGCAAAGCCGAUCAACGGACCCAGUUACCCUAGGGAUAACAGCGCAAUCCCCUUUUAGAGCCCAUAUCGACAAGGGGGUUUACGACCUCGAUGUUGGAUCAGGACAUCCUAAUGGUGCAGCCGCUAUUAAGGGUUCGUUUGUU